RNAcentral lists this ribosomal RNA (433 nucleotides) under uncultured bacterium. Its description in RNAcentral is "partial 16S ribosomal RNA". It matches the Rfam family "Bacterial small subunit ribosomal RNA", at positions 29 to 507 of the family's 1533-position model. The record is from RNAcentral.
AGCGAACGCUGGCGGCAGGCUUAACACAUGCAAGUCGAGCGGACCUUUCGGGGUCAGCGGCGGACGGGUGAGUAACGCGUGGGAACGUGCCUUCCGGUUCGGAAUAACCCUGGGAAACUAGUGCUAAUACCGGAUACGCCCUUAUGGGGAAAGGUUUACUGCCGGAAGAUCUGCCCGCGUCUGAAUAGCUAGUUGGUGGGGUAACGGCCUACCAAGGCGACGAUCAGUAGCUGGUCUGAGAGGCUGAUCAGCCACACUGGCACUGAGACACGGCACAGACUCCUCCGGGAGGCAGCCGUGGGGAAUAUUGCAAAACCGGCGCAAGCAUGAUCCAGCCCUGCCGCGUGAGUGAUGAAGGCCUUAGGGUUGUAAAGCUCUUUUAUCCGGGACGAUAAUGACGGUACCGGAGGAAUAAGCCACGGCUAACUUCGUG